AUUGAACUAUAAAUAAACUGGAAGGCUAACUCAGGGGGGGAAAUUGAAGCCAGUGCAUUUUAGUUUUUCUGAGUUAUGAGAAGAAAUACUCAACACUGAACGUUGGGCUAUAUAUCAAAUUGAAGCUAUUGAAAAACUCUAUUUGGUGUAGAAAUUUCAAGACUUUAGCUAAAAGGGAAAUAUUGAAAAACUACAAACAUAAUUACCGAUAAUUUGCCGUUUUGCAGUUGUUUUUGUAUUUUUUAAAUAUUUUUCUUUUCGCUGAAGUCUUGAAAUUUCCACACCGAAUAGCAAUUUUCAAUAGCUUCAAUUUGAUAUAUAGCCCGACGUUUGUGGUCAAGUAUUUCUGCUCAUAACUCAGAAAAACUAUUUUGGCUUCAUCAAAUCAUAGGCCUUCAUCAUAGCAGUUAGCCUUCCAGUUUAUUUAUAGUUCAAUGGGGUGGACUCAUUGAACUAAAAAUAACUGGAACGCUACG
This is a non-coding RNA of Paramuricea clavata, 476 nucleotides long. NCBI's taxonomy places the organism in Eukaryota, Metazoa, Cnidaria, Anthozoa, Malacalcyonacea, Plexauridae. The record is from the annotation of a GenBank genome assembly.